UAAUUAUUAGGGCAUGGCCAGCACUGCUCCACGUAUGUGUUAUUGGCUGCCCCUCCUGUCUAUCUCGCUCUCUUUUUCUACUUUAACCCAGCACUAUUUCCGCUUCCUUGUCUGUGUUUGUUUUUUGUCUCUCUGCUCUGCGCUCGCAAGAUAGUAUCAGCUAUUUUCCUACCUGCUCACUCUGCGCCGUUCAAAACGCAGCGUCAUUCUCAACUUGGUCUGCGUUUUCAUCAGUUUCAACAUCACCGCUGCACUGCAACUGUUUUACACCGGCGCCUCACAGACCAUGGUUACCACGGCAACGCCUCAGCGAGUGACUACUGGGAGUGGUAAGUUGCUACGGCGACCAGGCAGCUUUAACAGGCAAUGAGAGCCUGUGCCACACGACUGCAAUUUCUGGCUCCUGCUGCAGCGCUUUUGCAACAUGAGAGCUUCAACUCGCCGAAUUGUGACAUCUAAAUACUGCAGGCUCCUCUUCUAGACCUACAUUAACUUACUUAUAUCAUCACUAACUGUGCUAAAGCAAAUGCUUAAUACAUAGACAAGGAUUGUAAUCGCAAUAACCAAAUAUAUGCUACCCUGCUUCACUGAAGCCAAUAGUUUCAAUUCCAAUCAAAACCUCUAGAUGGCAGCAUAUCACCACAAGCUCUACAUAAUUUAAGAUGAUUUGCUAUCGCUGCGAAUCUGGCACUCUCCAAACCUUCUAUCAAUUCCUGCAGUUCGUUGUCUUUUUGAGGGAUUCUCAGUACCCUCCUGCCUCAACCUCUUUUUCUACAUAUAUUAACUUGAAUUUUUUCAAAUCCAAACUCCUCCCCUUGAGAACCUUGUCAUGAAGCCAUGCUUAUCAGCUUUCUGAGAUGUUAAGAAUCCACCGUCACAUUAAUUUACAGCUUCCCUGCAUCAGGCCAUUCCUGCAACCUUCUUGUUCCUGGAUUUGCACUUCCUUAUUUGCCCCCAACUUCAUCAAGGCACUUAAUAUAACUUUCAAAGUCCAUUUCAUUCAAUUUGAGCUACCAGUCACAUUCGGAAACUAUGUGCUACGAUUAUCAACAUUUCAGUCAAGCGUCCUCGUAUCCCGCAAUGGACAAUACACUCUUAGACUGCUCCUGAUCAAAUCAAUAGGUUUUGUAGCAGCCUCCGAGCAACGCAUUCCUAUCCUCUCAGGUUCUGCAGCGGCCUCAGAUCUAUGCAUUCUUCAUUUCUGCCCAAAGGCAGCCCCAUCGCCAUCAUCUAAAAACGCCUUAACUCUCAAAUACCAAUUUUCACCGCAUUCAGCAGCUCUCUGCUCUCUACAGCAGGCCACUGCAGACUACUGACAGCAUUCCAUCGUUUACCCCUCAGAUCUCUGCCCGUUCAGCAGAUCUUGCCUCUACUGUUAAUAUUUCCUCAUUACAGCAAAUCUCGGCUCCCUCUUCAGAUCUGCUUCUAUUGCAGCAUACAAAAGUGGCUUUAUUUACUGUUCAAAUCUGCAACUGCUCUCCUCCAGAGCUUCCAACACUCCAGCUUUCCUCCAAUACCUGGAUCUAAGAGAUAUAUAUAUACACGGAGAGCUUGACUUCCUCAGCAAUUUAGUCAUAUGUCCGCUCAUCCUCUCAGAUACUACAAGCUUUAAUAUAUGGUACGAGACUGGAAAUCUGUUUGAUUUAUGAAUUAAGGAGUUCCACUAUUUGGAGAAUGAUUGGAGUUGUGAAACCCAAAUCUCUGAUUUAUGAGUUCACCUUUUCCAUUCCAAACAGACAAGAUGGUAGCAAACCGCUGAUCAAUCCUGUAUUAACUAACACAGGAUGGUUGGCAUCUCAGCUCUCUGCCUUAGUUUUAAAAACAUCUCAGCAGUCGAUUUCAUAUGUUUGUUCAGGUCCAGCUGCCACCUCAGCCCUCAUCAAACUCUGCAACACCAACAUCUGCCGUUCAACUAAAUACAACACUCUCCAACCUUCUGCAAUCUGCUCAUCACUACAUGGCCACACUCUUAGUCCCAGCGACCAAAUCUUCAUUUACCUCUGGAUGGAAAACAUUUACAACUUUCUGCACUCAAAAUACAUCCCAUUCUGAUUUAAUGAACAACGGAUUCUAGCCUCCAUCGCCCAUGCAAGGGAUUCUCUUCACUUAGCCCCCUCUACCGUUAAAGCCUACAUCUCCGGAAUUUAGUAUUUCUGCCGCCUCAUCUCCAUCCCUUCUUCAACACUCCUAUCCAUCCCAUCAGUUUGCUUGACACUCGGAGAGAUCCUCAAGAGCCCCCCCCCUGCUGCUCCCUCCUGGCUCCCUAUAUCAAUAGACAUUCUUCACUCUUUAAUAUCUACCCUCAGAAAAAGCUGCUCUGUCUAUGCAAUGACCUUACCUUGGAAGUACUAUGUCUAACUGCUCUUGUGAAGCACUUCCUCUGCAGGAUUCCUGAAGGAACAGAGUGCACCCUGUGAACUUACCGUGACAACACCUGUGAUUUACCGUUUUUAAAAAAAAAAAAAAAAAAAAAAAAAGCAAGAGUACCAAGACAUCAAGGGGAAUACAAUGGAUAGACUCUGACCGUUAAGCCAUUUCAACCAUGAGGUCUUGUGAACCAUUCCACGCACCCAGAUACUGGACUUUGGCCAGCUGUAGUAAUUUUUACUACAGAAUACUACACCUUGCAGUUAAAAUAAAAAAAAUAAAUAAAAAAAAAAUAAAAUAAAUCAGGACUUCAUCAGGACUUCAAUACAGACAGUUACAUCAAGAUCCAGAAGUUCUGCAACCUGUUCCCAGGAGCAGACCCCAACCCUCGUCUCGUACUACCUUUCAGCAAAACAAUAUUCAACUGAAUAACUCUCUCUCCGGCCUCCUUCAAUCACCACGUGGAUUCAUGGAGAACGCUCUCGCCCCAUCUACCCGUUCUUACUACUCGACUGCCUGGUCUUCAUUUACUCACUUUUGCGAGUAAUAAAUAAAUAAAUAAAUAAUUAAAAAAAAAACAAAAAAAAAAAACGGAUCUCAUACCUCUUUCAACCUACAGCACUCCUCGCCUUCAUCACUCACCUCAGGCUGUCUCUAUGUUUAGCCCCCUCCUCUAUUUAGAUGCUACCUAGCGGGCAUUCAGUAUCAAUUUCGCCUCCAAUCUUUCUCCUCUCGUCCGUUCUAGAGAUAGCGGAUCUCUAGAGAGAACGCUCAGAGGUAUGGAGAAAAGCCUGCUCCCCUCCUCUCCAUCAAGUUAAUCAAUCUCUACUGACCUUCUCCUUUGUCUCAUCACUGCUCUCUGGCAAGGAUGCUUCAACCUAUUCAACGACAUCGUCAUGGAAACCCUGUGCCUGACCGUCGCCUUUGGAUUUCUCCGCUGUGCAGAAUUCUCAACUCCAUCAAUUUCCAACUUCCCAGCUCUAGGCCUCAAGUGCUCAGAUCUCUCUCAAAUCCCCGGAAACCACUUUAUCCUCUUCAUCAGAUCUUCAAAAACGGUCCAAUUAAGCCGAGGAUUCAGUAUCUUCUGUCAGAUCCCCUCUUCGACAGCUCCAGAUCUAUACUUGCGAGUCACUGGUUCUCAUCCCGUUUAUGCACCCUCUCGUCACGGAUCGGACUUUCUUCUACUAGGGUAUCAACACUUUGAUUAAGUCUAUGGGGCGCUGGAUCUCUUCAGCUGUGAACUUUAUAUUAGAUCAUCCUCUGCAGACAUCGCCACAGCUCACCAAGCACUUGUUAGCUUGCCCGGAGUGGGGGGCGCCCUCUCCGCCAGGCCCACCAGAGGUUUCCUCCCUGCAGUGCGGACGGCUUAUAGGCAUAGGUUGUCUACUAACAUCUCUUGUCUUUUCUCUUUUCUUCUAGCUUUUGUUUGUGUGUGGCUCUGCGAUCUCUUUUCUAUCCCACGGUGUGGUUCUUGCGGGGAGCCGGGGGUCCUCUUUUGGGGGGAAGUGAGUCUCACUCCCCCGGCUGUCCGGGUCGGCCUCUCGUCUCAACCACUGCCGCCCGGCUGUUCCUCGCCGGCCUGAGGGGACCCCCGGCCACAUCCUAUUCUUCUGCUGCUUAUGCGCUAAGCCUUCCAGGCCUCAACCUUGCUGUCCCAUCUCCUCUCUUCUAUUUCAGGUCCAGGACCAUUUCAGCCCCCUCAUGCAGUAGGCCGUGCCUCCACCUGCCGAGCUGGCCCCGACCGAGGGGGUGGGGGGUUUCUCUGUUUUCGUCUCUCCUAAACGGACCCGAGACACUUUUUCCUAAGCUCUCCACGCCGCCCAGCUGCCAGCUUAGCUGCCUGAGGAUGCUGCACUGAGUUGCGAAGGAUCUGUCCUUUUGUCCUGUUUGUCCCCUUCCUGUCUCUUGCUCCACUAAACGCCCAGCAGCCAGAGGAUGCUGCCUGACCCGUCGGGAGCGAGAGUCAGUUUGUUGUAUGUUAUAUGUCUAAACUUUGCUCUCUCUCUCUCACUUUUACGUCACCCAGCAGUCGGAGGAUGCUGCCUGACCUGGCGGAAAGUGUUUAUAUCUAAUCCUUUGCUCUUCUCAUGUCUCCCUCUCUACGUCGCCCAGCAGCCAGAGGAUGCUGCCUGACCCGACGAGAAGGGAAAACUCUUCGUCCCCCCUAUCUCGUCCUGCUAUCAGUAUCUAACCUCAAUGUUACUAAGCACCAUUCCCAAACUCCAGCCCUCAAUCUCGCCAUCCCUCAAACUCGUCUCACUCUUAAACUCUCAAAUGUCUCACCCCUCUCAAGCCUCCUAAGCAACCGGAGAAAUCCUCUCAUCUGGUCUCAUUCUUAAUAUCUCACUCCCAAUUUCGCCUCCUCUCAAGCCCUCGUAGGUAACCAGUGAAAUAUAUAUGUACAUUUAUCAGUGCGGCAGUGUUGAGUGGUGGUUAGGCUUCCAGACUUGCAUCCAAGUGUUUGAGGUUCGAUUCCCGGGUGGGGCACUGCCGUUGGCCCGUAUGUAAAUAGCUUUGGAUAAAAGCAUCUGCUAAAUUAAUUAAUUUUAUUUUAGUUUAUGUGAAUAUAUGAUUUCAGUUCUGUUCCUUUUGUAGUGGUGAGAGUGCCAAUGUUGAGGCUGCUCGACGACUUCAAGAAGCUGCAAGGAUUUUGAAGAGAGAGUCAGAAAGCACAGCCACUGCUGGCUCAGGAUCACAGACUGGUACUGGGAUGUGUUCACGCAGUUCUUUUAGCGGUUUGUUUAACAACAUGCAAACCUCACUAGCUGAAGUACAACAAGGAACCCCUACAGUCGAUUCAGGCAGGAUUCCCUGCACUGUAGCUAGAAAUGACCACAUUCAAAGAAAUCUUGUGCAGCUGUUUCAGCCAUGUGAUCAGGCAAGGGGGCAAAAGAUGUUCCAGAACACUGGAAAGUGUAAACGGAAAACUACACACAGUGAAACCUGGACACAUGAUUUAUUUUGCUUAGCAGAGACCAACGUUCAAACUGUGCCCAAUGGAGAAGACCGCAUUGGUUUACAGAAUUCAGGCCUUGGUAGGAAAAAAAUAACAUUUGCAGACGAAAAUGGAGGAUUUUCUUAACUAUGUGAAACUCUGUUUCUGAGAGAACUGAGAGUGGCCUGAACCAGGCAAUGGCCUAUAUUCGACCACUUCAGAAAAACCUGGAGAGCAUUGCGAAGCGUAAGAACAGUUGUCAAAAUCUAAUGUCCUCUAUAUUCCUUCUUCUUCGCCUCCCUUCUAUCACCCUUUCCCCUUCCUCCUCUGCCCAAACCUUGGUGUCACCUUUGAUUCCUCCCUUUCCAACUCUCAACAUAUUUCUUCACUGGCACGCUCUUACCGUCUCUUUUUGAGCAAUAUCUAUUGCAUUAAACCUGCUGGACUAUGGCUCUCGACGAUCAGGACUGGAGAUCUGGGUUAAGGUUUAAAUGCACAUGUAACACAUACUAUAAAAAUGAAGCAUGUUAAAAAUAAAUGUGUGUUUGUUUGUUGUAGUGUCAAGAGGUGGUCAUGGAGAAGUGCAAAAGGUGUGAAAAAUAUCCCUCUGAAAUGCCUUUCAGAACACAUUGAAAACUGUGGAAGACAGCCUGAUGACACUGAUUUGGAAGAUGAUGUCGUUAUGGAGAUAUAAUGUUUUCAAUGUGGAGUACUCUGUGAAAGAUAUCCUACAAUCCCUGAGAGUUGGAAUCAAUGAAGUCAUUCGCUUCAACUUAAACAGAAGAAAUGUGUGGGAUGGUGCUGUAGAGGCCAAACUUUUCAACCAACAAAAGAGUUGAUGUGAAAUUCACAGAUGAUGCUGGUGUUUCGGAAGGAGCAGUGGAUUUGGGAGGGCCAAUGAGGGAGUUUGUCAGACUAGUGCUGCAAUAUAUAAGAAACAGCCCUAUGUUUGAUGGCCCAGAAAAUCAACGUACUCUCUCAUGCCAUGCAGAGUGGUUGCCAUGGAAACUGUGGACCCACAAUCCUCCUGGUGCAUCGCUCACGUUACCGAUGGCGGAUAGAGCUGAAUGAAGGCAAGUUCGAGUUUGUUUUUUCCGAGUUUUCUUUUUAUAUUCGUUUGUUAUUGUAUAAAAAUUAAUACUCGAUCACAUGUGCUCAUAACAUAGACGAUGCAUGAUACAAUUUAGCUAUAUAUA
Acipenser ruthenus (sterlet) is the source of this 6498-nucleotide long non-coding RNA. RefSeq lists it as uncharacterized. The record is from RefSeq and is a predicted model, not a curated record. Lineage: Eukaryota; Metazoa; Chordata; Actinopteri; Acipenseriformes; Acipenseridae. The transcript is spliced from 4 exons.